Molecule: long non-coding RNA, 4362 nt
Filed under: Lathyrus oleraceus (garden pea)
Lineage: Eukaryota; Viridiplantae; Streptophyta; Magnoliopsida; Fabales; Fabaceae
Description: Pisum sativum (pea) long non-coding RNA (PSAT_LNC029494)
Source: RNAcentral
UUAAAGAAGGACUAGGAAAUUAAAGAAAAUAUAAAAGAACUUGACAUCGGGAAAGAAAUUUCUUCUAAUGAAAUCAUAGUGGAGAAAUUGAAUAGGGAGACUAAACCAAGCAUGCACAAACCAAAAUUAAACGUACUUCCACCUCAUCUUAAUUAUAUCUUUCUAGAAGAAGGUAGUAGGGAACUAGUAAUCAUCAGAAAAUCAUUGUCAACUUCACAAGAGAAAAGUUUGAUUCAAGUGUUGAAAGGAAACAAAGAAGUAAUUUGAUGGGUGCUAGCUGACCUAAAAGGGAUUAGUCCAUCUUAUUGGAUGCACAAGAUCGUGAUGGAAGAAACCUUCAAACCAAUCGCUCAUCCACAAUGUCUCUUGAUUCCUGCUAUGAAAGAUGUGGUAAAAAAAGAAAUGGUAAAAUUUCUUGAGGCAAGAAUGAUAUAUCCAAUUUCAGAUAACACCUAGAUGAGUCUCGUUCAUGUGGUCCCAAAAACAACUGGUAUGAUAGUGAUCUAAAAUAUAAAAAAAUGAAUUCAUUCUAACCAGAAGGUUCACUAUAGGGUUGAUGUUCGUAUGAUAGAAGACUAAAUCAAGCCACAAGAAAAUACCAUUUCCAUUUCCCUUUAUGUAUCAAAUGUUGGAAAGACUAUUUGGUCAAUCAUUUUAUUUGUUUUUUGUUCGAAUAUUCAGGUUAUAACCAGAUUAUAGUGAAUCUUAAAGAUCAUGAGAAGACUUUAUUCAAAUGUCCCUUUUGUAAUAGCCUAAACUCCAACAUAUAUUUUAUACAAACGCAUGCAGAAAAUAUGGCAAUAAAACAAAAACAGGGUGUCACACAUAUCUCUCAACAUUCAAUCUUUAAUUCAAAAUAUGGAAUUAAAUUCGAAACAACAUAACAUCAUUAUUCAAUUAAGAAACUUAGAAAAUGACCUCAUUCAUAAUAUAGAGUAUUCAAUGAAAUAAGGAAUUCCCAACCCUGUGUUACACUAUCAGAUUGACACCAUGGAAAACUAAAUAGUCGAUAAGGUAUGACGAAUAAAACAAGAAAAUAAAGCAGUGAGUAGGCAAAUUAUGCCACCCCCCAAAAUAAGUAACGUCUAAAUCUCCUCAGUCUCCACCUGAGUAUCUGCAUAGUAUCCAUGGGAAACAACAUGGAAACCGAAAAGGGGUGAGAAAUACAUUCCAUAUAUAAACGGUGCAUAAAAAACAAGGAUAGUGUAAUCAAUAUAACUACCCAAUCACAAUCACAUCUCGAAUAACAACAACAAUCGAUUAACAUAUGAAAUUAUGUAUGCAAUGUCAAUCUCUUAUACUCCAAUGCAUGUGGUAGAAAUCUCUAGGAUAUUCCUAGGUAUAUUUCUAAGGUAUCCCAACUCGUUACUUGGAUCAAAGUCCUACUCGUCACUAGACUAGAGUCUUACUCAUCACUGAACCGGAGUCCUACCUAGCUUCAAUAUACAUGAUGCAUGAAUGCUACAAGAAAAUAUGCAAUUCUCAUCCAAAAACCCAACUCUUACAUUUGCCAAUCGUUCCUUUCGGACCUAAAAUAUAUCAUCAACAAUGAUUAUCGUUUUAUGGCCAUGUCACUGGUUCCAUCGAACCUAAUUGUCUCACAUCAAUAGUUCCUUCUCAUGAGGUAUUCAUCAUUGAACUCAACAUAGGAACUCAAUAACAUUUUUCUCAUCAAUCAAUAUCAAAUAACUCAUAAAAAUGAAAAUAAAAUUAAAAAACUACUUGGAAAAUUGAGUCAAAUAUCUCAAUAUGGUCAAACAAUAGGGAUGGCGAUCGGACCGUAUCGACCAUCAUAUUUGUCACCCUCAGGGUGAGUAACACGUUAAUCACUGAUGGUUUGGGGGUCAUGUUCUCAUUAUGGGGCCCUAACAGUUGGACCGUCACUUGGCUGACGCCCGUCACCGCUAACGAUUUGGCGUCUUCUUCCUCGAUGCGGUGAUAGUUGGCCUAUCAUGCUGAUAAUGCCCAUCACUGUUGUGUACAAUGCGAUUUCUGCAUUUUCACCAUUGAAUCGCUUUAGAUUUCAAUCUCUUCAAUCGGUUUUUUACAAAUGAAACAUCUUGCACUCGAUUUUCACAUUAUAACAACAAAUUGUAUAACCAAAACAUUAAUUUAACUUUUAUCACAUCUACUCAUCAUGAUUUAUUCAUAAAAAUAUAGCAUCUCAUAAGAACACAAACAUAAGUUUUUUAUAGCAUAAACCCAUACUAAUUUCACAUAACAAUAGAAAAAUUAGCAACAUCAUUAGAUCAUAACUCAAAAUUAUAUAGCAAUAAUCCAGAGAGAUUUUGCAUAAACCACCUCAAGAUUCAAGUUCCACGUCAAUGGAAGAAAAAGGGAAAGGAUGGGGCUUAAGGAAUCCCUACUAUCCCAUAUGCUUAGACACCAAUGUAUUGAACAAUCCACCCUUACCUUGAUUAUUCAUAAAAGUUUGAAGCUUUAUCGACUUUGGUUAUGGAGGCUCUUCUUCUUCACUUUCUAUGUUAGGGUUUGCUCUCUCCACUUCUUAGUCUCUAUUCCACAAAUUCCACGUGAUAUCACUUUUCCUUCUAUUUAAAUAAAAACCCGUUUUUUUUAAUUUUAAUAAUUUCACUAAUGUCCCCAUUUCUCACUAAUUCUACUCAACUCCCUAUAUUAAUUAAAUUCUAGUUUAUUGCCCCAAAACCACACUUUCUCACAUUCUCCAAUAAUUUGAAUAUUAAACUAUAACUAAAUUCUCCCAAUCUUCUUUAACUUAAAUAAUAAUAAUUAAUUAAAUAAAAUACACCCCAAAAGCUCAAAUAAAAAUUUAAAAUACUAGAAUAAAAAUCGCGGUGUUACACCUUUGGUGUAUUUACUUACAGAAGAAUGCCUUUUGGACUAUGCAAUGCUCCCACAACCUUUCAAUGCCGUAUGCGGGUAAUAUUUUCAUAUUUAAUCAAGAAAUGCAUAUAGGUAUUUUGGAUGACUUCUCGGUAUUUGAAACAUCCUUUUUAUUGUGCUUGAAAAAUAUGAACUCCAUAUUGAAAAAGGUGUGUGAAAAUUAAUUUGGUUCAAAAUUAGGAAAAAUACAAUUUUAUGGAAAAUGAAGGCAUUGUAGUAGGACACAAAAUCUCAUCUUGAGGCAUAGAGGUGGAUAAAGCAAAGGUAGAAGUGAUCAAGAAAUUUCCAUAACCAACAAAUGUCAAAGUUAUCCAAAGUUUCCGCGAGCACACUAGGUUCUACAAAAGAUUAAUCUAAAACUUAUCAAAUAAAGCCAAACCGUUAAGCAACCUACUUAACAAAGAUAAGUGUUUUGAUUUUGGUGAAUCAUGCUUACUUGCUUUUGAAAAUUUGAAAUAAAAUUUGGUAAUAGAGCCAAUAAAUAAUGCACCAGAUUGGACCCUUGAAUUCAAAUUAAUGCAUGAUGCCGAUGAUUAUGUAGUAGAUGCAGUUCUAGGACAACGAAAGACUAAGGUUUUCCAUGCUAUACAUUACGUAAGAAAAGUUUUGGAUUAAGCUCAAGUAAUUAUGCAAGAACAAAUAAAGAAUUACUUGUGAUAGUUCACGCAUUGGAAUAAUUUAGAUUUUACUUGAUUGGCUCCAAAAUUAUUACAUACAAUGUGCAUGCAUUCAUCAAGUACUUAAUGAUAAAACUUGAUUCCAUACCAAUAUUAAUCAAAUGAAUGCUCUUACUUCAAGAGAUUUAUAUAGAAAUCAAAUACAAAAAUGGAUUAGAAAAGUUGGUAGCAGACGAUCUAUCUAGGAUGGUGAAUAAAGAAGUGACUAAUCAAAAUCAUGAGGUAUUAGAAAAAUUUCUUGAUGAAAAGAUACUCAUAAUAGAAGACAGGUCAGGGUUUGCAGACAUGGAAAAUUACAAGGUUGUUGGAUUACUCUUGGAAGAUCUCAAAUGGCAUAAGAGGAAUAUGCUUUUAAGAAGGGCCCAAUGAUAUGUGUGUGACGACUCAUAUCUCUUCAAAAUAGGAGUUGAUAAUUUAUUAAGGACAUGUGUAACCAAAUAAGAAUCCCAAAGCAUAUUGUGGCGUUGUCAUAAUUCAUCAUACAUGGGUCAUUACCGUGGAAAACAAAAUGCAUAAAGGUUCUUCAAUCAUGAUUUUUCUUGUUUACACUAUAUAAGGAUAAACAUGAGCAUACUACAAAUAGUGACAACUUCCAAAGAGAUGAAGGAAUCUAAAAACUUAAUGAAAUACCACUCUAGAACAUCCUUGAAGUAUAAGUAUUUGAUUGAUGGAUAAUUGACUUUGUUAGGCCAUUCCCCACCUUAUACUCUAACAUUUAUAUCUUACUGACAGUAUGUUACAUGUAAAAAUAGGUGGAAGCAAUUGCAACAUCGAAAUAAAAUGGAAAGACAAUCAUAAAAUUCCUAAAGAAAAACAUCUUUUC